CAAAACAAUGAAACAUCAUCAUCAACUUCAUCAGUCAUCACCAACAACAACAACAACAACAAAAUUAUUUCUCGGCUUUGGAGGGAAUCUUGGUAGCAUCUUCAGAAUUCAUGGAUGAUGCAGAUGUGUGUUGUAGUCCAUCGCUGGAUCAUAGCGAUAUCAACGAUCCAAUGAUAAUUGCUGUGGAAUCUCUAGACUUGAGCAAAAAGAGAAAACUGCGUGGUGAAGAAUCAGACUUGUUACCCCUACCAAAACACUUUUGUCUGGAACAACAAGCUUCUUUUCUUGAUUCUUCAUGUCAAUCAUCAGGUAUAGAAUAUGCAGAAUGCUCUUAUGCCAUGGAAGACACAAAAACCAGCGAUGAGGCCUCCUCCUCUUCUACAUCCAUUACAGGCCCUUCUGUCUACAUGUUUAAAGACUCUAUUUGUUCAUCCGGAAGUUCUAGUUCUUGUUAUGCUACAUCAAGCGUAGAACAGUGCUGUUCCAAAGUUGAUCACAAAACACAAGAAGAUGCUGAAGACUUGACUCUCAUGGAAUUCAUUUGUCCGGAUACUUCGGUUGAAGAUCUUCAAGAGGUUCUGAAUCCAGUUGCAUCAUAUAUUCUUUCCUCUGCAAGGUGGAGUGUCGGCAGCCAAGAUUCCGAAGAAGCUAACACGAAACCAACCAUUGAUCAAGAGUUUGAGCAGUACUUUUCAACACUUAUGAUGUAACAACAACAUGAACCUACAUAUGUAGCAGUAUCACUAAUCACGGGGAACCGUUAACGGCAGGAAAGCUUUCAUUAGGCCUUCGUACAGAAUUUUCUCAGCAGCUUUAUCUGACUCAAGAAUGGGCUGAUAGUAAUCAGAGUGAGCCUCCAUACACUUCUCCAAAAUCGGGUAACAUGGACCGAUGCCUAGAUGAUAUGAUCCCCAUAUUUUCUCAGCCGUAAGAGAGAUCGGAUCUUAUGAAAAUCAAGAACGGAGGAGGAGGAUAGAGUGACUUGGAUUAUUAACUGUGCGCAAGUCACUACUUCUCAUUCAAGUCCCUCUGCACACAAUAAUCAACCACGACGUCCUAUUAUAUGUUGAUUCUUCAUGUCCAUCAUCAUAUAUCAAAUGCUAUUCUGCAUCUGUCACAGGGCCUUCCUUCUUUGUACAUGUUUAAAGACUCUAUCUAUGUACGUAGCCCCGGAAAUUCAAGUUUCUGGUCAUGCUACAUCAAAGGAUAGAUCAAUACUAUUCCAAAGCAAUCAUAAAACUAAGUAGGCAGGGUCUUAUACAUUCUUUCUUCUGCUAGGUGGAGUGUGUUAGCAACAAAGGUAUAGCUAAUUUAUGAAAACAAAAGCAAAGAAUCAAAGACAAAUCUACCACAGUCAAGGAUUUUAGUGUCACCAGUUGAAUAAGAUGAUAUUCUUACACCAUUUAAAUUGCAGAUUCCGAAGGAACUACCACAAAAGACCAACAACAACCACUGAUCAAACUCGUAAGAGAACAGUACAGUUUAACAUGUAUAAAUGUAUGAUGGAACAACAGGAAGCUAAGACACUGUUACCAAAAGAAAAGAACAGAGCAAAAGAAGACAUUACUACAGUGGUCAUCUGCAAAUUUUCUGUAAGCUUUUUUUCUUAUGUUGUCUUGUUCAGAGUUUCUGAAUCCCACAAUUGUAAUUGAAAAGGAAAAAAAAAAAAAACUCUUCAAACCAAUGAUAGAUCUACAACACAAAGCCAACAGAUUAGACUUGGAAAAUAGAUCUCAGUUUCAAUUUAGUAAAUUCCAAUUUCGAUAAACAAACAAAGUCAUCGCUCUGAAACCUCAAUCUCUUAAGAAGCAAAUCCUAAACAUGUAUUUACAGAGAAAGAAGAAAGCCACCAAAAAAAAAAAAAAAAA
Molecule: RNA transcript, 1868 nt
Organism: Capsella rubella
Lineage: Eukaryota; Viridiplantae; Streptophyta; Magnoliopsida; Brassicales; Brassicaceae
Gene name: protein FAR-RED-ELONGATED HYPOCOTYL 1-LIKE
Exons: 6
Source: RefSeq, a predicted model, not a curated record